CCUGAAGUUUACUUGACACUCAUCUUUAGGGACCUUGUCUGGAAUUUUCAUGGGUAUGUACAUUACUUGCAGCCUGAAGUUGUUUGUUACUGUUGUUGUAGCCUGAAUCACAUGUCGCGUGCGAGUAGUUCGUCGAACAGACGACAUCAAUGGCCUCAGUAUGGGACAGUGCCACUUAUGCGCUGCCCCGAGUGUGAACGGCCAGAGCCUCUUUUGCGGCUCACAUCGAGGAAAACUGAGAAUGGCAACUAUGGUCGUGAGUUCGUGAAGUGCCCAUGGAAGGAUUUGCGAAAAUGUGACUUCUUCAUGUGGCUGGAUGAUUAUAUGAAGAUGAUAGAAGCAGAAGGGUUGGCGGGUGGUCCAAAUGAAUACAUUGGGCACCAACAUGUGGCAACUGCUAACGCGAAAGCAAUUAGUGACCUGAUCGCUGAAGUUAAGAAGGUGAAUCACAACUUGAGCGAGAUGAAGAAGAUUGUUGGAGCUUUUUGCGCUACUAUGAUUUUAAUUUCCUCGCUUUUCUUUGUGAUGAAAUGUAAUUGAAAGCAUUUAAUUUGAAGUGUGGCAGGUUUGUGUGUUGUAUUGAUGUGUGAACUUUUCUAGUGCAUGCUAUGUAGUGAUUGGUGAUAUGUGUUGUAGUGAUCUGUGAACAAUAUAUGCUAGUCUGGCACUUUGUCUGGAAUAUUUGAGUCUGGCACUGUCUGGAAUAUUUGAGUUGGCAUGUUGUCUGGAAUAUAUGCUAGUGCAUGCUGUGUGAA
Molecule: long non-coding RNA, 755 nt
Organism: Zea mays
Lineage: Eukaryota; Viridiplantae; Streptophyta; Magnoliopsida; Poales; Poaceae
Exons: 2
Source: RefSeq, a predicted model, not a curated record